Molecule: small nucleolar RNA, 133 nt
Filed under: Fukomys damarensis (Damara mole-rat)
Lineage: Eukaryota; Metazoa; Chordata; Mammalia; Rodentia; Bathyergidae
Description: Small nucleolar RNA SNORA25 (ENSFDAG00000004870.1)
Source: RNAcentral
AAAACAUCUGUAGGAGUGCUUAUGGGACUAUGAAACCUAGAAAGAGAUCUUAAUGUUGUGAUGACAAACUGAAGUUUCCCACAGAAUGACUUAGUCAUCCAAUAAAGCUCUGUUCUCCUGAGAAGAUAUUGCA